Molecule: long non-coding RNA, 801 nt
Organism: Cygnus atratus (black swan)
Lineage: Eukaryota; Metazoa; Chordata; Aves; Anseriformes; Anatidae
Exons: 3
Source: RefSeq, a predicted model, not a curated record
AGGGGAGGUGGCUGCGGGCUGAGGGGACCCUGAGGGGGCGCUGAGGGGAGCGCGGCUGUGAGGCGCCCAGCGACCCCCAACCGAGUAUGGAGAGCGUGAGGGGAGCCUCCCGACCCCGAGAAGGAGCUCCUCGUGGAGAUGGGUCCCCUUAGCGCGCGGUGUGGGGAGCUUAUCGCGCAGCAGGCCGAGAGAUAGGGGCAGAAAUCGGGUAAUUGCCAGGGGAGCGAGGCGAUAAGGGGCCUGCCCCGCCCGCCGUGACAGUAUCGGCUUGCAGCAAGUCAGGAUCGGUGCAGGUGCACGGUGAGAGCAGGCAAGCUGCAUUACCGGAGAGAAAUCUAUCAAAACCUGAGGUAUUUCAGGCAGUCCAGUAUCCUCUGAGUGUUAAAUUCCAGUGUUAUGAGGGGUUGUGCACCUCAGCCUGGAAAUCUGCAGGUUCCUGAGCUGCCUCCUGCCCAGAUGCCGGGAAGUCAGUGCUGGUGCAGAAGCAAAGGAAAGCCCUGUUCCUGUGGAAUAGACUGUUCUUCUUUCUGUGCUCCUGGGGUGUCCUGAAGGAUCGCUACUGGCCUUCAAUUGCAAAACUCUGGCCAUGCCAAAAAGCUUCUAAGGUCAGAAUUUAAGUGCACAUCAGCCUUCCACUACAGGAACCAGCUGGAUCCAGGUUGUACAUCGAGGGAGUUAAUAUGACGUGACUGUUAAAAAGCAAAGCACUCACUCAAAGAAGGGUUAGACGCUUUUAACCUCUUUUUUUUUUUUCUUUUCCCGUGUAUGGCCAGAGAUCUAAUCCUGCAAACAAUAAUUACU